GGGCCUUUAGCUCAGUUGGUCAGAGCUCCCGGCUCAUAACCGGUCGGUCCUGGGUUCGAGUCCCUGAAGGCCCACCA
Molecule: transfer RNA, 77 nt
Filed under: Clostridiaceae bacterium
Lineage: Bacteria; Bacillati; Bacillota; Clostridia; Eubacteriales; Clostridiaceae
Also listed under: 4 other names
Description: tRNA-Ile
Rfam family: tRNA
About the family: Transfer RNA (tRNA) molecules are approximately 80 nucleotides in length. Their secondary structure includes four short double-helical elements and three loops (D, anti-codon, and T loops).
Source: RNAcentral